GCCCUGGUGGUGGAAUUGGUAGACACAAGGGAUUUAAAAUCCCUCGGCGUUCGCGCUGUGCAGGUUCAAGUCCGGCCCGGGGCACCA
RNAcentral lists this transfer RNA (87 nucleotides) under Vibrio chagasii. RNAcentral describes it as "tRNA-Leu". It matches the Rfam family "tRNA". From Rfam's summary of the family: Transfer RNA (tRNA) molecules are approximately 80 nucleotides in length. Their secondary structure includes four short double-helical elements and three loops (D, anti-codon, and T loops). The record is from RNAcentral. Lineage: Bacteria; Pseudomonadati; Pseudomonadota; Gammaproteobacteria; Vibrionales; Vibrionaceae.